This 75-nucleotide transfer RNA is filed under the name Bradyrhizobium sp. RNAcentral describes it as "tRNA-Ile(gat)". It matches the Rfam family "tRNA". Rfam says of the family: Transfer RNA (tRNA) molecules are approximately 80 nucleotides in length. Their secondary structure includes four short double-helical elements and three loops (D, anti-codon, and T loops). Lineage: Bacteria; Pseudomonadati; Pseudomonadota; Alphaproteobacteria; Hyphomicrobiales; Nitrobacteraceae. The record is from RNAcentral. RNAcentral also lists the same sequence under 6 other names.
GCACGUUAGUCCGACCGGUGAGGGCCUCGCCUGAUAAGCGAGUGGCAGUUGGUUCGAUUCCAGCAGCGUGCACCA